GAGGGUAUAGCUCAGUUGUAGAGUGUAUGCUUAGCAUGCAUGAGGUCCUGGGUUCAGUCCCCAGUGCUUUCA
This 72-nucleotide transfer RNA is filed under the name Camelus bactrianus (Bactrian camel). It matches the Rfam family "tRNA". Rfam says of the family: Transfer RNA (tRNA) molecules are approximately 80 nucleotides in length. The record is from Rfam by way of RNAcentral. Lineage: Eukaryota; Metazoa; Chordata; Mammalia; Artiodactyla; Camelidae. RNAcentral also lists the same sequence under 2 other names.